RNAcentral lists this ribosomal RNA (254 nucleotides) under uncultured bacterium. RNAcentral describes it as "partial 16S ribosomal RNA". It matches the Rfam family "Bacterial small subunit ribosomal RNA", at positions 524 to 776 of the family's 1533-position model. The record is from RNAcentral.
UACGAGGGGGGCAAGCGUUGUUCGGAUUUACUGGGCGUAAAGGGCGCGUAGGCGGUCAGCACAAGUCAGUUGUGAAAUCUCCGGGCUUAACUCGGAAAGGUCAACUGAUACUGUGCGACUAGAGUGCAGAAGGGGCAACUGGAAUUCUCGGUGUAGCGGUGAAAUGCGUAGAUAUCGAGAGGAACACCUGCGGCGAAGGCGGGUUGCUGGGCUGACACUGACGCUGAGGCGCGAAAGCCAGGGGAGCGAACGGG